This 253-nucleotide ribosomal RNA is filed under the name uncultured bacterium. RNAcentral describes it as "partial 16S ribosomal RNA". It matches the Rfam family "Bacterial small subunit ribosomal RNA", at positions 524 to 776 of the family's 1533-position model. The record is from RNAcentral.
UACGUAGGGUGCAAGCGUUGUCCGGAAUUAUUGGGCGUAAAGAGCUCGUAGGCGGUCUGUCACGUCGGCUGUGAAAACCCGAGGCUCAACCUCGGGCCUGCAGUCGAUACGGGCAAACUAGAGUACUGCAGGGGAGACUGGAAUUCCUGGUGUAGCGGUGAAAUGCGCAGAUAUCAGGAGGAACACCGGUGGCGAAGGCGGUUCUCUGGGCCUUACCUGACGCUGAGGAGCGAAAGCGUGGGGAGCAAACAGG